AAGGGAGACCUAAUUCAGGUAGGAGACGAAAAAAAAGUAGUCGCUACCAAGAAUCAAUCCCAAAAGGUCGGAGCGAGGCGAAAUUGGCUUUCAAACUAGGUUCUGGGUUCAAACAAGACCUGAAUCAGGAACAAGGGCUAUUAGCUCAGGUGGUUAGAGCGCACCCCUGAUAAGGGUGAGGUCCCUGGUUCGAGUCCAGGAUGGCCCACCUGCACAGGUGGCAAAAACAAGAGAAGCGAGGAAUCAGCACCUUAUCUUACUGACAUAGUAAGAGAGAAUGCUGGCUCUGAGUAAAGAGUCCAGAGGAACCUUGAAAACUGCAUAGAGCUAGGUGAAAAAGCCAAAAAAGAAGACCGCAA
This 359-nucleotide transfer RNA is filed under the name Microcystis sp. MB. The stretch from base 135 to 208 matches the Rfam family "tRNA". The record is from RNAcentral. Lineage: Bacteria; Bacillati; Cyanobacteriota; Cyanophyceae; Chroococcales; Microcystaceae. RNAcentral also lists the same sequence under 2 other names.